CCCUUAGAUGUUCUGGGCCGCACGCGCGCUACACUGACGAAUGCAACGAGCUUAUAACCUUGGCCGAAAGGUCUGGGUAAUCUCCAAAUUUCGUCGUGAUGGGGAUAGAUUAUUGCAAUUAUUAAUCUUCAACGAGGAAUGCCUAGUAAGCGCAAGUCAUCAGCUUGCGUUGAUUACGUGCCUGCCCUUUGUACACACCGCCCGUCGCUCCUACCGAUUGAAUGGUCCGGUGAAGCGUUCGGACCGUGGCCUUUGGACGGUUCGCCGUCUGUUGGCUGCGGGAAGUUCGUUAAACCUUAUCAUUUAGAGGAAGGAGAAGUCGUAACA
Molecule: ribosomal RNA, 327 nt
Filed under: uncultured eukaryote
Lineage: Eukaryota
Description: partial 18S ribosomal RNA
Rfam family: Eukaryotic small subunit ribosomal RNA
Source: RNAcentral